RNAcentral lists this ribosomal RNA (497 nucleotides) under uncultured bacterium. Its description in RNAcentral is "partial 16S ribosomal RNA". It matches the Rfam family "Bacterial small subunit ribosomal RNA", at positions 28 to 507 of the family's 1533-position model. The record is from RNAcentral.
GAUGAACGCUGGCGGCGUGCCUAAUACAUGCAAGUCGAGCGAACGGACGAGAAGCUUGCUUCUCUGAUGUUAGCGGCGGACGGGUGAGUAACACGUGGAUAACCUACCUAUAAGACUGGGAUAACUUCGGGAAACCGGAGCUAAUACCGGAUAAUAUUUUGAACCGCAUGGUUCAAAAGUGAAAGACGGUCUUGCUGUCACUUAUAGAUGGAUCCGCGCUGCAUUAUCUAGUUGGUAAGGUAACGGCUUACCAAGGCAACGAUGCAUAGCCGACCUGAGAGGGUGAUCGGCCACACUGGAACUGAGACACGGUCCAGACUCCUACGGGAGGCAGCAGUAGGGAAUCUUCCGCAAAGGGCGAAAGCCUGACGGAGCAACGCCGCGUGAGUGAUGAAGGUCUUCGGAUCGUAAAACUCUGUUAUUAGGGAAGAACAUAUGUGUAAGUAACUGUGCACAUCUUGACGGUACCUAAUCAGAAAGCCACGGCUAACUACGUG